RNAcentral lists this ribosomal RNA (253 nucleotides) under uncultured bacterium. RNAcentral describes it as "partial 16S ribosomal RNA". It matches the Rfam family "Bacterial small subunit ribosomal RNA", at positions 524 to 776 of the family's 1533-position model. The record is from RNAcentral.
UACGUAGGGUCCGAGCGUUGUCCGGAAUUACUGGGCGUAAAGAGCUCGUAGGUGGUUUGUCGCGUUGUUCGUGAAAACUCACAACUCAAUUGUGGGCGUGCGGGCGAUACGGGCAGACUAGAGUACUGCAGGGGAGACUGGAACUCCUGGUGUAGCGGUGGAAUGCGCAGAUAUCAGGAGGAACACCGGUGGCGAAGGCGGGUCUCUGGGCAGUAACUGACGCUGAGGAGCGAAAGCGUGGGGAGCGAACAGG